Molecule: ribosomal RNA, 492 nt
Filed under: uncultured bacterium
Lineage: Bacteria
Description: partial 16S ribosomal RNA
Rfam family: Bacterial small subunit ribosomal RNA
Source: RNAcentral
AGUGAACGCUGGCGGUAGGCCUAACACAUGCAAGUCGAACGGUAGCACAGUAAGAGCUUGCUCUUACGGGUGGCGAGUGGCGGACGGGUGAGGGAUAAAUCGGAAUCUACUUUUUCGUGGGGGAUAACGUAGGGAAACUUACGCUAAUACAGCAUACGACCUACGGGUGAAAGCAGGGGUUCUUCGGACCUUGCGCGAUUGAAUGAGCUGAUGUCGGAUUAGCUAGUUGGUGGGGUAAAGGCCCACCAAGGCGACGAUCCGUAGCUGGUCUGAGAGGAUGAUCGGCAACACUGGAACUGAGACACGGUCCAGACUCCUACGGGAGGAAGCAGUGGGGAAUAUUGGACAAUGGGCGAAAGCCUGAUCCAGCAAUACCGCGUGGGUGAAGAAGGCCUUCGGGUUGUAAAGCCCUUUUGUUGGGAAAGAAAAGCAGCAGGUUAAUACCCCGCUGUUCUGACGGUACCCAAAGAGUAAGCACCGGCUAACUUCGUG